This 449-nucleotide ribosomal RNA is filed under the name uncultured bacterium. RNAcentral's name for it is "partial 16S ribosomal RNA". It matches the Rfam family "Bacterial small subunit ribosomal RNA", at positions 29 to 523 of the family's 1533-position model. The record is from RNAcentral.
AGCGAACGCUGGCGGCAGGCCUAACACAUGCAAGUCGAACGAACUCUUCGGAGUUAGUGGCGGACGGGUGAGUAACACGUGGGAACGUGCCUUUAGGUUCGGAAUAACUCAGGGAAACUUGUGCUAAUACCGAAUGUGCCCUUCGGGGGAAAGAUUUAUCGCCUUUAGAGGGGCCCGCGUCUGAUUAGCUAGUUGGUGAGGUAAAGGCUCACCAAGGCGACGAUCAGUAGCUGGUCUGAGAGGAGGAUCAGCCACAUUGGGACGGAGACACGGGCCAAACUCCUACGGGAGGCAGCAGUGGGGAGUCUUGCGGAAUGGGCGAAAGCCUGACGCAGCCAUGCCGCGGGAAUGAUGAAGGUCUUAGGAUUGUAAAAUUCUUUCACCGGGGACGAUAAUGACGGUACCCGGAGAAGAAGCCCCGGCUAACUUCGUGCCAGCCGCCGCCGUAA